CGCCGGUCCCCCCGCAACGCCAAACCGUGAAUCCGGUCAGGCCCGGAAGGGAGCAGCCGCAGCGGUGGCAGCGUGUGCCGGGGUGCGGCUGGCGGGG
Molecule: signal recognition particle RNA, 97 nt
Filed under: Thiohalocapsa halophila
Lineage: Bacteria; Pseudomonadati; Pseudomonadota; Gammaproteobacteria; Chromatiales; Chromatiaceae
Also listed under: 1 other name
Description: signal recognition particle sRNA small type
Rfam family: Bacterial small signal recognition particle RNA
About the family: The signal recognition particle (SRP) is a universally conserved ribonucleoprotein involved in the co-translational targeting of proteins to membranes.
Source: RNAcentral